Molecule: ribosomal RNA, 253 nt
Filed under: uncultured bacterium
Lineage: Bacteria
Description: partial 16S ribosomal RNA
Rfam family: Bacterial small subunit ribosomal RNA
Source: RNAcentral
UACGUAGGGACCGAGCGUUGUCCGGAAUCAUUGGGCGUAAAGAGCGUGUAGGCGGCUCGAUAAGUCUGCUGUGAAAGUCCAGGGCUCAACCCUGGAAGGCCGGUGGAAACUGUCGGGCUAGAGUCCGGAAGAGGCGAGUGGAAUUCCCGGUGUAGCGGUGAAAUGCGCAGAUAUCAGGAGGAACACCGGUGGCGAAGGCGGGUCUCUGGGCCGAUACUGACGCUGAGGAGCGAAAGCGUGGGGAGCGAACAGG